UCCGUAGGUGAACCUGCGGAAGGAUCAUUACAGAAAGUAAACGCGGAUCAAACCGCGAACUUCUAAACCUUUGACGAUCGACUCAUGUUGCCUCGGCGGGUGCUCCCGCCAGAGGAUACAUCAAAACUCAUGUUUUAACGGUGUUGUCUGAGCUACAAGCAACGAAUCAAAACUUUCAACAACGGAUCUCUUGGUUCUGGCAUCGAUGAAGAACGCAGCGAAAUGCGAUAAGUAGUGUGAAUUGCAGAAUUCAGUGAAUCAUCGAAUCUUUGAACGCACAUUGCGCCCCUUGGUAUCCCGAGGGGCAUGCCUGUUCGAGCGUCAUUUCACCACUCAAGCCUGGCUUGGUGUUGGGCGACGUCCCCUUUGGGGACGCGCUUCGAAACGCUCGGCGGCGUGGCAUCGGCUUUAAGCGUAGCAGAAUCUUUCGCUUUGAAAGUCGGGGCCCCGUCUGCCGGAAGACCUACUCGCAAGGUUGACCUCGGAUCAGGCAGGGAUACCCGCUGAACUU
Molecule: unclassified non-coding RNA, 511 nt
Filed under: Cenococcum geophilum
Lineage: Eukaryota; Fungi; Ascomycota; Dothideomycetes; Gloniales; Gloniaceae
Description: partial contains ITS1, 5.8S rRNA and ITS2
Rfam family: 5.8S ribosomal RNA (bases 171-324)
Source: RNAcentral